Long non-coding RNA from Raphanus sativus (radish), 305 nucleotides. RefSeq lists it as uncharacterized. The transcript is spliced from 2 exons. NCBI's taxonomy places the organism in Eukaryota, Viridiplantae, Streptophyta, Magnoliopsida, Brassicales, Brassicaceae. The record is from RefSeq and is a predicted model, not a curated record.
CAUCAGGAGGUUUCAGAUGUCUCUGCAGUUGCGCAGAAGAGGUGGAGUCUGAAUGAUUUCGACAUUGGAAAGCCCCUUGGAAGUGGCAAGUUUUGUCACGUUCAUCUUGCUUGAGAGAAGCGGAGCAACCACAUUGUCGCCUUAAAGGUUCUAUUCAAGACUCAGUUUCAACAAUCUCAAGUUGAGCAUCAGUUAAGAAAAGAAUGUCUUACUUAUUUUUUGAUCGAAUGUCUUACUUACUUUAAAUGAUAGAAAAGAAUGUCUUACUUACAUACAUAAGAUAUUUUAAUAUUUUUUGAGUCUCA